RNAcentral lists this unclassified non-coding RNA (334 nucleotides) under uncultured Glomeraceae. RNAcentral's name for it is "sequence contains 18S rRNA gene". The record is from RNAcentral. Lineage: Eukaryota; Fungi; Glomeromycota; Glomeromycetes; Glomerales; Glomeraceae.
CCCAACUAUCCCUAUUAAUCAUUACAUCGAUCCUAGAAACCAACAAAAUAGAAUCGGAUGUCCUAUUUCAUUAUUCCAUGCUAAUGUAUUCAAGCGUUAGCCUGCUUUAAACACUCUAAUUUUUUCAAGGUAACAGUCCUAAUUUCCCACAACAUCAAAUAAAUGACAUCAUGGUUCCUUAGAAGGUGAGAACCAAUGAAAUCAGUACAUACCGAGGGCAUGACCAACCCAUUGAUCCCGAAAUUCAACUACGAGCUUUUUAACUGCAACAACUUUAAUAUACGCUAUUGGAGCUGGAAUUACCGCGGCUGCUGGCACCAGACUUGCCCUCCAA